This 468-nucleotide ribosomal RNA is filed under the name uncultured bacterium. RNAcentral's name for it is "partial 16S ribosomal RNA". It matches the Rfam family "Bacterial small subunit ribosomal RNA", at positions 28 to 507 of the family's 1533-position model. The record is from RNAcentral.
GACGAACGCUGGCGGCGUGCUUAACACAUGCAAGUCGAACGGAAAGGCCCUGCUUUUGUGGGGUGCUCGAGUGGCGAACGGGUGAGUAACACGUGAGUAACCUGCCCUUGACUUUGGGAUAACUUCAGGAAACUGGGGCUAAUACCGGAUAGGAGCUCCUGCUGCAUGGUGGGGGUUGGAAAGUUUCGGCGGUUGGGGAUGGACUCGCGGCUUAUCAGCUUGUUGGUGGGGUAGUGGCUUACCAAGGGUUUGACGGGUAGCCGGCCUGAGAGGUUGACCGGCCACAUUGGGACUGAGAUACGGACCAGACUCCUACGGGAGGCAGCAGUGGGGAAUAUUGCACAAUGGGCGGAAGCCUGAUGCAGCAACGCCGCGUGCGGGAUGACGGCCUUCGGGUUGUAAACCGCUUUCGCCUGUGACGAAGCGUGAGUGACGGUAAUGGGUAAAGAAGCACCGGCUAACUACGUG